UGGAUUCCUCAUCAUUAUGUUGGCUAUUGGACCAGUUUUGCUCUUUUUGAUGGAAGCAAAAAAGUGAAUUACAAAUGGAACAGAUAAGACACAUGUGUUCAUAUCCUUGGAAUCUCCUGAAUGAAAUAAAUAACAAAACACUUGCGUGCAUUAGCCUACAAUGGACAAGGGUGAUUCAUCUAAGGAUUUCAUAUAAGGGAACCAUCUUUGUAGCUUAAGGGUUUAUAUAUGUCGAUAUAUACCAUCUGAACAGUGAAGAAUUAGAUCCCUAUAUUGUACGUGAGGCUCAAUAUCAGGACUUAACAAUAGCAAUGGUCUUAAUGCAGAAAUUGACAAGUCAACACCCACUUCUCCAACUAGGAUCUAGACUCUGCUCAUGUUGCAUGUAUACUUCAAACUGAAAACCCUUGAAGCAAAUUAUCCUCCAUUGGUAUAGCACAACAGCUCUGGGUGAGGAAGAUCCAAAAGCUCUCUUUUACGUGAGAUGCUAGAUGAUAAAAAAGAAUGGGCUACUUCAAGGGGUACCUUGCUGCAGUAGCCCAAGCAAUCAUGUAAGUCCUUAUUAAUUCCUCCCUUUGAGUGGUACCAAAUCGUAUCUGUCAGGACUGACUUGGAUGAUGAGACCGCGUCCUAUACUCGGGAAGAUGAUGAGGGGCUUCAGUUCUUUGGUGAAACCAAUGAUGCGCUACAUGCAGAAACGAAAUCAAGAAUGCAAUUUUCGCACUUUCCUACUUGAUUGAAUUUUCAGACAUAUCAAAUUUAAUACAUUACACCUGUGGUGGAACGAGGGCUUCCCAUCACAAGGGUUUUUAGUCGAAUGACUUUGAAACAAAUUUUGUCAAAAACUGACAAAAUUUAACGGAGUUAUAUCAUGUAUUUUUUGUUGAAUUCUCGGAAGAUGAGAAGACAAUCAAGUAGACUUGGAGAUGGACCAGAUGCGAUUGAUUCGACCUUAAUGAUGAAUCGGAAGGUAGUUAGACUUUAUUAGCUCUUCCAUUUUUACUCCACUGAAUUUGAUUUUCAAUUUAUGGCCACCUCUACAGUAAAAUCCUUCGAGUUCGGGACCAAAAAUGUCUUUUGCAGCUUUUGCUAGCUCCAGUUGAAUGGUGCCUAAUUCU
This is a long non-coding RNA of Papaver somniferum (opium poppy), 1118 nucleotides long. RefSeq lists it as uncharacterized. The transcript is spliced from 5 exons. The record is from RefSeq and is a predicted model, not a curated record. NCBI's taxonomy places the organism in Eukaryota, Viridiplantae, Streptophyta, Magnoliopsida, Ranunculales, Papaveraceae.